RNAcentral lists this unclassified non-coding RNA (375 nucleotides) under uncultured fungus. RNAcentral describes it as "partial contains 5.8S ribosomal RNA and internal transcribed spacer 2". The stretch from base 1 to 133 matches the Rfam family "5.8S ribosomal RNA", at positions 22 to 154 of the family's 154-position model. The record is from RNAcentral. Lineage: Eukaryota; Fungi.
UGGCUCUGGCAUCGAUGAAGAACGCAGCGAAAUGCGAUAAGUAAUGUGAAUUGCAGAAUUCAGUGAAUCAUCGAAUCUUUGAACGCACAUUGCGCCCGCCAGUAUUCUGGCGGGCAUGCCUGUUCGAGCGUCAUUUCAAACCCUCGGGCCCUUCCUCCCCCACCCGCUCUCGGGAGGGACGGACGGGCCCGGUGUUGGGGAUCGGCCGCCCGGUUCGCGGGCGCGCCGUCCCCUAAAUAGAGUGGCGGUCUCGCUGUAGCCUUCCCCCUGCGUAGUAGUAAACGCCUCGCACCGGGAACGCAGCGCGGCCACGCCGUUAAACCCCCCCCAAACCUCUGAAAGGUUGACCUCGGAUCAGGUAGGAAUACCCGCUGA